RNAcentral lists this unclassified non-coding RNA (200 nucleotides) under Umbelopsis sp. Its description in RNAcentral is "partial internal transcribed spacer 2". The record is from RNAcentral. Lineage: Eukaryota; Fungi; Mucoromycota; Umbelopsidomycetes; Umbelopsidales; Umbelopsidaceae.
UUAAGUUCAGCGGGUAAUCCUACCUGAUUUCAGAUCAAAAUUUGAAGAGGUAACCGAGGUCAACCUCAAAAUUCUGUAUAUCAAGACUGUCAGAUUCUAAGCAAAAAAAGCCAGGAUUUCAACAUUACUGCCGAAACUUAUUAGGCCAACAUGCUGUUAAAACAAAUCAACAGUGCAAGAACUCCAUUUUAGAAGGGCUG